Molecule: transfer RNA, 73 nt
Filed under: Candidatus Nasuia deltocephalincola
Lineage: Bacteria; Pseudomonadati; Pseudomonadota; Betaproteobacteria
Description: Candidatus Nasuia deltocephalinicola tRNA
Rfam family: tRNA
About the family: Transfer RNA (tRNA) molecules are approximately 80 nucleotides in length. Their secondary structure includes four short double-helical elements and three loops (D, anti-codon, and T loops).
Source: Rfam by way of RNAcentral
GGGGAUAUAACUUAAUUGGUAAAGUUUUUGUUUUGCAAUCAAAAUAUUGGGGGUUCAAAUCCCCCUUUCUCCA